Molecule: non-coding RNA, 320 nt
Organism: Salvelinus sp. IW2-2015
Lineage: Eukaryota; Metazoa; Chordata; Actinopteri; Salmoniformes; Salmonidae
Source: RefSeq, a predicted model, not a curated record
GUGGACCACAGUGCUCUGGUUCGUGUGCGUGUUCUAGACUCUAACAGACAACCCUUCCUACAUCGUUACCUUCCUCUGAUGCACCUCAAACUGACCCCCUCCUCACCCAUCCUCACUGUGGAGCCUGCAGGGCCGUUGGACAGCGUCUCCGUAGGUUACCGUGUGUCAGGUCAGACAGUGGGAGUGGUCAGUCUUCACCUGUCUGCAGUGGACAGCAGUGGGAGUGUCCGGACCUCCUCUCACAAACAGCUACAGGUCUACCCCAGAUUCACCCUGCAGCCACGAAGUCUGGCACUGACACUGGGCAGCGUACGACAGGU